Molecule: long non-coding RNA, 1982 nt
Organism: Myotis brandtii (Brandt's bat)
Lineage: Eukaryota; Metazoa; Chordata; Mammalia; Chiroptera; Vespertilionidae
Exons: 4
Source: RefSeq, a predicted model, not a curated record
UGAGUUUUCAAAGGACCCAAAGGACCCAACACUUGCCACUGAUUGGCCCCUGACUUAGUUUCCCAAAACUGUGCUCCCUUGUCUGCCUGUCUAGCUCCAAGCCCUGGUCUCUGUGUGUGAGUUAUCAGGACAUAUAGCGUUGCCUGCAGUGCAGUUUGCAGAGGCCACUCUAGGUCCUGGGUGGGUGAGUGGCCCUUGGUUGGGAGAAUGAAAACCCAGCGUCCUGAUUCCUGGUCAGCCCUCUCCACGUGACCUCAAACCAACAUUGGGACUGACGUCUUCCAUGCGAAGCCACGUAGGAGCUGCCCCUGACCUCCACGGUGCCCGGAGCUGCGCUGGAGUCUGGGUUAAAGGCCAGAGCACAUCGCACCAACAGGGCACCAGCAGGGUCACCGGAGCGACUCCUACCGGGACCGGCGGUGGUAAUGUCCCUGCCGGGUCCCACGAGGAUGCGGGGCAACGGCCCAGCCCAGCGCAGACCCCGGGUCUCCCCCUCCGGCAGUGUUCUCAAGUUCUGCCUGAGUUUUCCUGUCUGGCUCGCGCAGGAAGCUGAACCCCUAGGGGUCCGGGCAGAGGCCCGCCUGCGCUCUUGCUGAAGACCAGGGACGCUGCCAGAUGACAGGAAGACAGCGGCAGGACAGACGGACGGGGAUCUGACAGUCACAGAGCUGCUUGCUGCUCCCCCGCACGCGGGGCUGAGCCCAGAGGUUUCUCUGAUGCUGCGGAGCUGGGCUUUGGGGCCGCCACAGAGGAGCAGCGGACGCCAUUGAUCCUCAGUGGCCAGGCGGGAACAAGAACACCGCGGCCUGGCUGACACCUGCCUCGUCCCUCCCUGACGCGAGCUCCCGGGGCUCGCUUGUCUGCCACCUGCCUGCACAGCCGGGCCCCCUGGCGAUGGGAUGUAAAUGUAUGAAUCAGCCAGGCAGCCCCAGCGGCAGAACCUUUCUCUAGGCGAAGCAAUUUGCAGCAAAAUAUGCUGUAAAUAUUUGCUCAGCUCAGGAAAAUGACUUUAAUUGCAUAAUUAAACUUGUUGUCAAUGCUGCUUCCGGACAAAAUGACUGGGGAGAAGCUGGGACCACAGCUGGCCCUCUGAGAUUGUGGAAUAGAGGGGCUGUUUACAAAGACUGCCCUGGCCCUGUCUUUCCUCCCUGAAAUGGGGGUUUUGAGAUCAGUCAGGGGGGAAGGAGGAAGGGGCUCAGAGAGAGGAGAGAGGGGAAAAGUUCCCCAAAUCAGAGAACCAGCCGCAAAGGGACCCCCAGGCCCUGGGGCAGAACUGCCCCUGAGUUUUCCGAAUGCCCUGUGCACACCCCACCUCCCGUGGGUCACGGGUAACUUGAGCAGAUAACCCCUCGCUGAAGAAGAACGCAAUCAGUAGGUUGAAAGAAACUUGCUUUAGAAGAAAACAUUGCAUUCCAGCCAUUAAUGAAAAGCCAGGAUUCCUUGAUAAGGUGGUUACCACACAAACACAGCGCGUAGCCAGGCCCAGAAGGCCGGCCACAGGCUGGCAAACCCACAAAAAGACGGGUGGUCCCCGGGGCCCGGGGAAGUGGCACCGGGAGUGACUGCUGAUGGAGCAGGGCUACUUUUUGGGGUGAUGACAUGUUCUAAAACUAGAUUGUGGCAAAGGCUGCUCAUUCCUGUGACUAUAUUAAAAACCACCGAAUUGUACGUUUUAAUUGGGUGAAUUUUAUGGUAUGUCAAUGACAGCUCCAUCAAGUAGUUUUACAAAAGAAUAAAAUGGAAAACAAAAUUGCCUCUCAGCUUGCAUUAGAAGCCAGCUGUUUACCGAAGGCUCUGAGCUGGGGGCCUGCACCCAUCUUGUCAAACAACAGAGGAGCACAGACGAGGGCGGCACUGGGGCGGGCAGAGAGACCAGGAGGACUCGGAGGAAGGGCACUGACUUUCUCAUUGUGGGGAUCCAUGUCAAGGCCCAUGAACAUCUCCAAAUGGUCACUGAGCAUUUUAAAAAUCAUCUCCCCCCA